Molecule: long non-coding RNA, 42250 nt
Filed under: Jatropha curcas
Lineage: Eukaryota; Viridiplantae; Streptophyta; Magnoliopsida; Malpighiales; Euphorbiaceae
Description: long non-coding RNA (JCUR_LNC001503)
Rfam family: tRNA (bases 22829-22901)
Source: RNAcentral
UUUUUUUUUUUUUUUUUUUUUUUUUUUUUUUUUUUUUUUUUUUUUUUUAUUUUUNNNNNNNNNNNNNNNNNNNNNNNNNNNNNNNNNNNNNNNNNNNNNNNNNNNNNNNNNNNNNNNNNNNNNNNNNNNNNNNNNNNNNNNNNNNNNNNNNNNNNNNNNNNNNNNNNNNNNNNNNNNNNNNNNNNNNNNNNNNNNNNNNNNNNNNNNNNNNNNNNNNNNNNNNNNNNNNNNNNNNUUUUUUUUUUUUUUUUUUUUUUUUUUUUUUUUUUUUUUUUUUCUGUUCUGACAUUCGCGUUUGUCAUUUCGGCCUUUGGGGCAAAGGAUAACGUGCAGAGAGAGCAAUGCAUUGUGCCUGCAUCAUCUGUUUAACGGUAUGGACGUUUGACGGUAGUCAAGGGCGGCACGACCACGUUUUCAUUUGCAUUUCGAGUUGCAAUGCUAGGGAACAUGACGAUAUAAAUCAUAAAUUUAUUUGUAUUUAAUAACUAAUUCCAAUUAUGUAUGUCUUCUCUCGUCUGAGAAGUUUUUCGUCUUGCUUGUUAGCAAGUCUUUUUUAUUCCGAGAACGGAGGAUUACAAUAUUUCCGUCGAUAUGGCUAAUCUCUCCGUCAACGGCGAUAGCCAUGAGGGUAUUGUUUUUAAGGCUGAUGAGAUUAGUAAAGAGGAGGAGGAGGAAACUAACCCUAAUAUUUGUUUGGUGGGUCGCUUUAUAUCAAACAGACCCAUCAAUUUUAUGGCUAUGGAAUUGACAUUAGCUUCAUUAAUGAAACUAGUCGUGGGGAUGUUGAUCAGGGAGUUAAAAGGGGGGAAUCUACACCUUUCAGUUAUACUGCAAAAUUGAUAUGGAGAGAGCCCUUGAUAUGUGCCCGUGGUUGUUCAACAAUCAAAUUCUUAUCAUGGAUAGCAUGGAGGGGUUUACCCAUCCAUGAGGUACCGUUGAAUGGAUUGUAUUUGUGGAUUCACUUGUAUGGUUUACGCCCUAGAUACAAGUCAGAUUAUGUUUUAGAAAGGUUAGCGAAUGGGAUAUUUGUGAAGACUGACCCUGAGAAUUUCACAAAGAAGAGAGACUAUCUUUGAGUUCAUGUUAAAUGGGAUAUUAAUAACUCAUUCGUGAAACAUUGAAGUUGAGGAAGGAGGACAAUUCGGACUGGUUUUGGGUCAACCUCGAAUAUGAACGAAUUCCUGGAUUUUGCUUUAUUUGUGGUAUAAUAGGACAUAGUGAGAAAUUUUGUCUUUUUCCGGUGUUGAUUGAUGGUGCUCCAAUGAUUAGGAAGUUGGUCCCCAUUUAAGAGCUAAUCCACGACGUCCACAGUUAUCAACAUAGGCAAAAUGGCUUCGUGAUGAAGGCUAUGUCGGACACGGCGGCGCUCAUGGAAGUGGUUGUCGGAGCCCAGGGGUACGACGGCACAGUUUUGGAGAGCCCAUGAUGGGUGCGAUGCAGCCUCCUAAUUUUUCGAAACAAACCUCAAAUUUGGGCGAGAAUGUGGGAGUUGAUAAGGAAGGAGAUAAUGCAACGAUUGUGAAUGAGAAGUUGGACUCAAGUGUAGCAAAUGGUAUCUUAUUGAAUGAUCCGAAGAGAAGAAGAAUGGGCCAAAAGGAGGAGAGUACUAAGGCCCAAGAUAUCAAUACAGAAAAUGGGUCUACAAAGGACCUAAAAAAUGGGUCUUUCAAGGAUCCAAAAAACGGGAAAGCGGCGGGUUCCAGUACUCAAGCCCGCCGACAGAAAUUAGUCUGUUAAGUUGGAACUACCGAGGGCUCAGCAACACCAAGGCAAUUUAGAAUUUGCAGCAGCUAGUUUGUGAAAAGCGUCCUAAUUUUAUUUUUCUUGUUGAGACAAUUUGUAAUUCAAAUAAAGUUAAUGAAAUAAAGUCUUUAUUAGACUAUGAUGAUUUUUAUUCAAUUGAUAGUAAUGGUCAUAGUGGCGGACAGGCUUUUUUAUGGAAGGGGGUUAGCAGUGUAAAUAUAUUGGGUUCUUCUCCUCAUUUUAUUGAUGUGAAAGUUGAUGUUCAGGGGUUGGAGCCUUGGCGUUUAACAGGCUUUUAUGGGCAGGCUAAUAGAAAUAGAAGGCAUGAGACUUAUGAGUUGUUUGGUGACCUUGCUUUGGUUUCUACUCUCCCAUGGGUUUGCAUUUGGGACUUUAAUGAUAUCCUGUAUAAUUCUGAGAAGAGAGGUGGUCUUCCACAGUUGGCAAAUUUACUCCAUGGGUUCCAAAAUGCUAUUAUGAGAACUGGUCUCUUAGACUUGAAGUUAGACGGGUACCAGUUCACUUGGGCCAAUGGUCGGGUAGGGGCUGAUCAUGUGGAAGCUAAGCUUGACUGAUGUUUCAUUUCUAAGGGAUGGAGGAAUUUUUUCCAUAUGUCGAAAGGGAUGGUCCUUGACUUAACUACUUUUGACCAUUUACCUUUAUUUAUCCAAGUUCAAGUUUAUGUUCCCAGCCAGAGAGUGCAUUUGUUUCGUUAUCAAAACCAUUGGUUUAGGGAGCUAGAAUGUCGUCAAGUGGUCGAGGAUUUUUGGAGGCUCCAUGGGGAUGCUAAUCUAAUUGAGAAACUUACGGUUUGUAGUAUAUCUCUUGAUGAGUGGGGGCAGAAUUAUCGACGCAAUUUUAAAGUGGAGUUGGAUGAGUGCAGACAAAAAUUGAAGCAAUUAAGAGGUAGGAGAUCACAGUCAGAUCGUCGAAAUUUUCUACAUGUAACAUCCCUUCCCCGUCCACCCAAUAACCCAAAUGAACCGAGCCGAGACGCUAUAAUCUGGUUGAACUUAUGUCCUGUCAUGCUGAUAUCAUCCUGUAUGCUAAAUAUGAAUACAAAACACUCCCAAUUAAACUCCAAACUUCCAACAUCUCCAAAUAAUCAUUAUAACACAAUAACACUUUAUAUAUUUUCAUAACUGUAUCAAUCCUCAAUAGCAUUUAAUAUCCAGCAAUUAAUUGCAUUCAUUAUAUAUAUCAAGUCUUCAUGAACUAAUCAUAUCAAUUAUGUUAAAAUAUUUCAUAUUCACUCAUUUCAUCAGUAGUAUUCUUAUCUCCAAAUACUGACGCCAAAAUAAUUACAUGCUUCAAUUAUAUUUCCAAGUACAUAAGCUCUAAAGAAAAAUGUAAUAAUUAUACAUGCCAUAAUUCUUAAUUAUACAACUCUCAAUCUACUAAGACCAAAUUAGUCACUUCUGCUUUGAUAGUACUCUUCAAGUCUUCAAGUAGCAACCACGAUCUUCAACCUACGCGUGAUAAAAAUCGACGCGCUGAGUAUAAAACUCAGUGGUGCUCAUAAUUCACAUACUUAACAAAGUGCGAUGGCAACUUACUUAAAAUACAAAUUUCAUAAAAUCAUUGAUAAUCUUAGAAGCAUUAAAGUUCAACAUAAAUGUAUCUUUAUAGUGAAGAAUAAACUUCUAAUUCAUAACAUAAAUAAUUGAGUUCUAAUUAUCUCAUAACUCCUUUACAUGAACAUUUAAUCACACAUAUCAUGAUACUAUUAUGAUCUUACCUGCUGUUCAUUAUGCUGUAUGAAUAAAAUCAAUAAACAUGUAAGAACACAUAACAGUAUAUUUUCAUUGUCUUACUUGCUGUUCAUUAUGUUGUAUGACAUAUGCACUUUUUAGUCACAUCAUAUAAGUUAUGAUUAAUAAAAUCUCAUAACUGUAUGGCUCCAUAAGAACUAAAUAAAUAAACUAGUAAGCACACAUAACAUUAUACUUAUAUGAUCGUACCUGAUGUUCCUUAUGCUGUAUGAAUUUUGUAACUUUUAUUACAACUCAGUGAAUAUCGCAACGAAUAAAGAAACAAGUAAGCACAUACAUAUGUAUAAAUAAACAUGUAAUCACAUAUGGAAUGUAAGCACACAUAUCAUGAUACUUUCAUUANNNNNNNNNNNNNNNNNNNNNNNNNNNNNNNNNNNNNNNNNNNNNNNNNNNNNNNNNNNNNNNNNNNNNNNNNNNNNNNNNNNNNNNNNNNNNNNNNNNNNNNNNNNNNNNNNNNNNNNNNNNNNNNNNNNNNNNNNNNNNNNNNNNNNNNNNNNNNNNNNNNNNNNNNNNNNNNNNNNNNNNNNNNNNNNNNNNNNNNNNNNNNNNNNNNNNNNNNNNNNNNNNNNNNNNNNNNNNNNNNNNNNNNNNNNNNNNNNNNNNNNNNNNNNNNNNNNNNNNNNNNNNNNNNNNNNNNNNNNNNNNNNNNNNNNNNNNNNNNNNNNNNNNNNNNNNNNNNNNNNNNNNNNNNNNNNNNNNNNNNNNNNNNNNNNNNNNNNNNNNNNNNNNNNNNNNNNNNNNNNNNNNNNNNNNNNNNNNNNNNNNNNNNNNNNNUUAACAUGAUUGGAGGCAUACAAGUUGAGCAAAGGAAUACAAUUGCAUAGAAAAAGAGGUCCAAAAGAGCAUCAAAACACAAGUCGCUAGCGCGAGAAGCACAUAUGAGGGUCAGUGAGUUUACAGGCAAGAUUCGCGAGCGCGCAAUGAAAUUCGCGAGCGCGAGAAGCACGAAAUGAGAGUUAGAGAGUUUCCAGGCACAAUUCGCGAGCUCGACAUGAAAUUCGCGAGCACGCGUCUUGUUUUCCAGCCUACGCAGUGUGUACUAUUUUGGUCAUAUCUCUCAAUUUAUAACUCCGAUUUGGGUGAUUCAAAAACCCAUUGAAAGCUAACACAUAGAGGAACAAAUAACUCUUCUAUGNNNNNNNNNNNNNNNNNNNNNNNNNNNNNNNNNNNNNNNNNNNNNNNNNNNNNNNNNNNNNNNNNNNNNNNNNNNNNNNNNNNNNNNNNNNNNNNNNNNNNNNNNNNNNNNNNNNNNNNNNNNNNNNNNNNNNNNNNNNNNNNNNNNNNNNNNNNNNNNNNNNNNNNNNNNNNNNNNNNNNNNNNNNNNNNNNNNNNNNNNNNNNNNNNNNNNNNNNNNNNNNNNNNNNNNNNNNNNNNNNNNNNNNNNNNNNNNNNNNNNNNNNNNNNNNNNNNNNNNNNNNNNNNNNNNNNNNNNNNNNNNNNNNNNNNNNNNNNNNNNNAAUAUCACCAAAUGAUUCAAGUAUGAAAUUCAAGAAGGUUUACUUACUUGGAUAGAAUAGAAGUUGAAGUUAAGGCUUAACUACCAUUAAAAUCUUCACUACCAUUAAAAUUGAUGGAGAAAGGAAAGUGGAAGAGGAAAGUAGAGGAAGAAGAUGAAGAUAAAGAUGAAGAAGAGAAAAUGAAAUGGAAGUCUCGGGUACAUCUCCAAAAUAUCAAUGAUUUUUAUGAAAAAAAUUACCAAAUGGUACCUCAAGUGUCAAUAUGUUACAUCUAAUACCUAAGCUUUAUCUUUUAGUGCAAGCAAGUCCUAAUCCUUAUACUUUGAUCUUUUUGCUUCCUUCAAGUAAGUCUACUUCUUUUCAGUUACAUCCCAUUCUACUCACUCUGGACUCUAAUGGCUCGAACCGGGUUUUGGAUCAGCCCUACUCACCGAUGUCACAACUUACUAUUGCAGACAUAGAAAAAUGGGACGUUACAGUUCUACCCCCCUUAAAGAAUUUCGUUCGCAAAAUUCACUUGCAUUCAACACUUACAAAUCUCAUACCUAAGCUUUAUCUUUUAGUGCAAGCAAGUCCUAAUCCUUAUACUUUGAUCUUUUUGCUUCCUUCAAGUAAGUCCACUUCUUUUCGGUUACAUCCCAUUCUACCCCACUCUGGACUCUAAUGGCUCGAACCAGGUUUUGGAUCAGCCCGACUCACUGAUGUCAUAACUUACUAUUGUAGACAUAGAAAAAUGGGACGUUACACUGCAGGCCAGGGCAAGGCUCGCUGAAAUAUAUGUGCAAUGUGAGCUAUUCUGGAAACAAAAGGCAAAGGAAGAAUGGCUGCAAGGGGGUAAUCGAAACACACAUUUUUUUCAUGUUAAGGCGUCUGUCAGACAAAAGAGAAAUCGAAUUAAGUAGCUGAAAGAUAUGAAUGGGGAGUGGAAGAAUUGGGACCCAUGGCUUAGUGAGGUGAUCUUGAAUUAUUUUGUGGAGUUAUACUCGGCACAUGCAUGUUCUCCAGAUAAUAUUCUCAGCCUAGUUCCUCGAUGUGUUUCUGAGGAUGAUAAUAAGUUGCUUGAGGAACCUUUUCGGUAGAAGAAGUGAAGUAGGCCGUUUUUAGCAUGGGUUGCAACAAAUCUCCGAGCUACGAUGGUUUGAACCUAGGGUUUUAUCAGUGGUAUUGGAGUAUUAUUGGAGAUGAUGUGAUGACCUUUUGUAUUGCUUGUGCGAAUUCAGGUACGUUUCCUACCGAAUUGAAUGAAACAGUGUUGGUUUUAAUUCUAAAAAAGCAAAUUCCUGAGUUUAUGGUUGAUUUACACCCAAUUGCUUUGUGCCAAGUGCUUUACAAGAUCAUAACAAAGAUGUAUGCGAAUAGGCUGAAAGUGAUUCUUCUCAUGUUAUUUCUCCCACUCUGAGUGCUUUUGUGGGGGGAAGGCAUAUCCAGGACAAUUCAAUAGUUGCUUUUGAAUCUCUUCAUUAUUUGAGAGCUCGAAAGCAUGGUCAGGACGAAUUUUUUGCACUGAAAAUAAAUAUUAGUAAGGCCAAUGAUAGGCUUGAGUGGGGUUUUUUGAAAGCAGUAAUGGUGAAGAUGGGUUUUCGUGAGAAGUGGGUUGAUUUGAUUAAUUUUUGUGUCUCUUCGGUAUCUUAUAAAGUGUUGCAACAAGGGAGAUUUAUUGGUCCUAUUGAUCCAGGGAAAGGAUUGCGGCAGGGGGAUCCCUUGUCCAUAUUUAUUUAUUAUCUGUGCUGAAGUUUUGUCCCGAUUGAUUCAAGCUAAAGAGAGAUUGGGCUCCAUUCAUGGGUUAAAGUGAUUACUGGAGCUCCAACGAUGUCACAUCUGUUCUUUGCAGAUGAUAGUGUUUUGUUUUUUAAGGCUACCUUGAAUGAAGCUCAGACGAUCAGAAUAUUGUUGCAGGACUAUGAAUUAGCCUCAGGUCAGGCCGUUAAUUUUAAUAACUCUUUGAUUUAUUUUAGUCGUAACACUGAUGCUACCAUAAGAUCAGAUAUUUGUUCUCUACUGCAAGUUAGGGAGCAUGAUGACCUUGGUACUUAUCUAGGACUUCCUGUGUCGAUUGGGCGAAAUAAGAAGGAAGUGUUUGGCUAUAUUAAGGACCGUGUAUGGAAGAAGCUAAAUUCAUGGAAGGCAAAGAAGUUAUCUAAGCCUGGCAAAGAAAUUCUCUUGAAGAUGGUGCUCCAAGCGAUACCGAUUUAUGUUAUUAUGUUAUUCCUAUUUCCUAAAUCUCUUUGUGAGGAACUAGAGAAUAUAAUGUGUCGCUUUUGGUGGGGUACGACAGAAAAUAAUCAUGGUAUUCACUGAAUGAGUUGGGAGCGCCUUUGUCGGGAUAAAAAAGCAGGAGGACUUGCGUUCAAGCAGCUAAGGAAGUUCAAUAUUGCUCUUCUUAGGAAGAUUGGGUGGAAGCUGUUGAAGGAACCCAAUUCCCAUGUUGUCAGGCUCUUAAAGGCGAGGUAUUAUGCCAACUUUAUGUUUCUGGAAGCUCCUUUGGGUAGUAACCCAAGCUAUCUUUAGAGGAGCAUUCGUGAAAGUCAGGAGAUUAUCAGGAAGGAGAUUUACUGGAAGGUGGGAGGAGGCAAACGAAUUGCUCUUUGGACUGAGUCGUGGUUAAGGGAUGCUGUUAAUCCUUUUGUUACUACGUCAUUUGAUCCUAGUUUUGGUGUCUAUUAUGUCCAUGAUUUGAUUGAUGAUGGCUAGUGGAAUUUACAACUUAUAAGGGACACAUUUAAUGCUCGUGAUGCUGAUUUGAUUUUGAGCACUCCUUUGAUUGCUGGAGCCGUCGAUGAGAUUGCUUGGAGGUUUGAAGAGAGAGGUCAUUACUCAGUGAAGUCAGCCUAUAAAGCUCUUACAGUAAACUCCCAUCAGAUUGUGCCUUCGAAUGCAAUUAAUGUAUUGAGUCGAUUAUGGAAAAUCAAAGCGCCACCACAGGUCACUAAUUUUAUCUGGAGAGCAGUUAAUGGCAUCCUACCAACUCGUGAUCAAUUAAGAAGAAGAAGAGUGGUGGUACCAUCUCAUUGCCCAUUAUGUAGUCAGUGUGAUGAGAAUGAUCUUCAUUUACUAGUCAAUUGCUCUUUCUCAAAGCAAGUUUGGCAAGCUUCAUUUUUAGGUUGGUACUCGCCUAUUGUGAACAGGAAUGGCUUGGUCAGAUUUUUUCGCAUCUUUAAUGACAAGGAUGCAGCAAUGGCGUUAACUAUGUGCUGGCAAAUCUGGAAUUCUCGAAAUAAUGUGAUAUGGAAGCUACAAUUUCCAUCGGCUAUGGCUAUAUGGAUGAGGGCGUGGCUGUUUCUUGAGGAUUGGUUGAAGGCAAAUGUUGCUGUGGGAAGAGGUGUUGCAACUGCAAUUAAGUGGCAGCGACCUGAACUUAACUGGGUUAAAGUUAAUGUCAAUGCAGCAGGGGCAGUGGGUGACUCUUAUGCUGGAUUUGGCGCGGUGGUGAGAGAUAGUAAUGGCGCUGUGCUGGGAUUGAAAAUUGGCAGGUUUGGAACGAGCUUAAGGCCAAAGGAAGCUGAGGCUAUGGCAGUCAAGGAAGCUUUAAGCUGGUUGGAGGGAAAAGGAUGGUACUGUUUUUGGUGAUAUUAUUAAUUCUAUUUGUCAAGUUUCUUCACAGAUUGGAUGUGAAGUUGAGUUUAGGCAUGUUUAUCGUUCGUCAAAUGAGAUUGCUCAUAGGCUUGCUCAAGCAUCUCGAACAAUGUCGAAUGUGGGGGAGUGGUUACGUGAUUUCCCUCCCUUUGUAUUAUCUAUUUUAAGCUUGGAUGAUUAAUAAAUUCCAACUUUUCUUCAAAAAAAAAAAAAAACUAAUUCCAGUUUAGAUUCGAUAAGUAAAGGAAUUUGGUUAGUGUUUUUGUUAGAAUAGAUUCUAGAAAUUCAGUGUCCAAGUCCAGCCUCUAAUUUGAGAUUUACUAUUUAUUUCCGUAAAAUAAUUUGCUGAAAAAAAUUUUUAUGGAAAACAUUUUCUUUGAAAAAUUUUUCCGAACGACUUAUUUCCCUGUAUUUGGUUGUAAUAUUGAAAAUUAAUUAAAACUAUUAAAGUAUUUAUCUCAUAGGACCAUAAAAAAAUAUUAAUAAUAAUAGAAAUUUUAUAAUUUAAAAAUUUUAUUGUUAAAAUGAGAAGAAUGCAAAAAAAGAAAAUGUAAUUUAUGAAAGGCACCAGUGGCAAGUGGUGGUGGCCGUUGGUAAAUGGUGAUUAGUGGUAGUCAUUGUGAUGAUUAAUAGAUUAAAAAAAUAUGGAUUUAUAAUGUUUGUCAAUGUCUAAAAAAUAUUUUACUCUCUUUAAAAAAUGACUUAAUUUUUCUUUAACUAAAAGUAUUAUUUUCUAUUAACUUAUUUUUCUGAAUGCCCCAAAUAACAAAAAAAUUGUAAAAAAUAUUUUCUUAAACCAAAUGGAGCCUCAAUUUAUCAUAUUCUAAUUUAUGCAAAUAAAAAGUAGUAUUAUAAAUAAAUUCUCAUAUACGGUGUUAUUAGUCAAAAUUGGUUGAUUAUAAUAGGUGAUAAGUUGAUUAACAAUGAUCAAUAAUUGUAACUAUUGGUAAUUGGCAAAUUAAUAAAUGACAGGACCACCACUCCUCGCCAAGGUGUCUUUAAAGAUUAUAAUAAAUUUAUUAAUAUUUAAAAAGAUUUUCCUCUUUUAAAUAUAUAUUUAGUUUUUCUUUAAUUAAGAGAAUAUUUUCUAUUAACUAAUUUAUGUAAGAACAAUCAAAAAAUAUCUUUUAAAUAAGUUAUUUUUUAAAAACAAAUGAGUUCGACUUCAAAUUAUUUUAGAUCAAAUUUAGAUACCAAUGAAAGGUCUAAAUAAUUUAGUUUGACUAUAAUUAUUACAAUGAAGAUUAAAAAAAAUUAAUUUAAAUUCAACCCAACUCGAGUAACUAACUAAUUGAAAAGUCGUCUAUAUUUAAUUUGAAUACUCAGAAGUCAAUAAUAAAAUCGCUGGGGAACUCCAUCUGUACCAUGUACAUAAAUCUAGUUUGACUUUCAUAUAGAUUAGGAAAAACUAAUUAAUAUGGUUAAAUUAUAUUUUUCGUUUAGCUUUUUUCAAAAUUAUCCAUUUACAAUAUUAAAUAAUGUACAUAUAAUUAAGAAUAGAGAUGUACAUUAAAUAGAUGUAUAUUAAGAAAUUACAUAAUAAUAAAUCUUUUCAAAAAGGAAAUAAGACUGUAUUUUGAGACAUACAAAAAAGAAAAAUGAAUUUAUAUAUAUGGGACGAAGAGAGUAAUUUUCUACAUGGAUAAAUAAUUCAGCAUUCCAAUAGAUGUAUCAAAGAAAGAAAAAGGUUAAUUUUUUACAUGGAGUUUCUUUUUUCUUUUUAAGAAUAUCUUCACUGUUCUUUUUAUGAGUAAAAUACAACCUUUGAAUUUUUAAAUACAAAAUUAUUUAAUAAAACUAUAUCAUGUUUUAAAUACAAGAAGAAUUAAAAGGAGAUAAAUUAACGUCAUUUACAAUAAAAGUUAGGCUUUCCUUGAGACAAGCCCACCCAACCGGGCCGGUCUUCAUUGAAAUGCAGAUUCAAACCAAACCCUUGGAUGGAAAUAUAAUCUGGGCUUACUAGGCCUCUGGGCCGGAGCAACAUUUAUCCUUACAAAUUUAAUAUUAAAUGAUACUACCUCUGUUCUAUAAUAUUAGUUAUAUUUGGAAAAUUAGUUUAUUUCAAAAUACUUGUCAUAUUUAUGGUUUUAAGGAAUAAUAUUUUUUUUCCUUAUUUACCCUUAUAUAUGAUAAAAAAUUGUUACUUCAAUUUAAUUAUUUUCUUGGAGAAUUAGUAUUAAAUUAAGGGUAUAUAGUCAAUUUACUCAAUAAUUUAUUGUAAUUUAGACAAAUUUAAUAAUUUUCUUAAGGUACAUGGAAUUCUAAAUGCGACAAGUAUUAUGGAACAAAGGUAGCACAUUCUUUGUCCCAAAAUAUAAGUCAGUUUCAAGUUUUUGCAUGAGGAUUAAGGAAAUAAUUAAUUCUCUUAAAUUAUUACUAAUAAAAUCAAGGAUAGUUUAAUUAAAUUAUAUUUUAUCUCAAAAAAUAAAUAAUGAUAACUUAUGAAUAUAGUUAAUUUAACUAAUAUAAAUAAGGGUAACACUAGAAAAACAUCAUGUACUACUUAAAAUAUUUAAAAAAAAUUAUAUUUUGGAACAAAAUAACCACCCAAAACAUUUUAUAUUUUGGGAUUGAGGAAGUAUUAUGGUACGAAUUUUCCACACUUAGCGGGAUUAGCGAUGAUAAUGGUUUACAUAAUUAUUAGAUAAACUAGACGGUUAUCUGUGCUUUACACGAUUGUAUAAUAAUUCUAUUUUUCAUUUCAAAUGUAAAUAUAUAUGUUGAGUAAAUUAUAUAAAUUCAUUUUUUAGGAAAAAAGUGACUGAAAUUAUUAUUAGAUAUAAAGUCUUGUAGGUACUUAAAAUAAUAUAAAUAUUUAAUUUUUAUUUUUGUAGAGAUUUAUCUAAUUGGGAGUAUAUAAUUAAAAAAUUAUUAAAACAUAAUAGUUAAUUUAUAAUUGCAUAAAACAUAUUUAAAUCCUUUGAAGUUACACACACUUAAAUCCUUGCACAAAUAAACAAAAUAAACUAAACUAAGCAAAAUAUAAAAUGAAAAAACAAAUCAAGUAAAUAACUUAAACAAAACAAUGAAAUACCAUAUUGUUCUUCUUUCAACCGGCAAUAAACUGAAGAAGUUAAAAUAAAAAAUUAACUUAAACUUUCAACGAUAGAAAGAAAUUAAAUUAAAAAAAAAAUAGAAUAGUGAAUAAAAAGAGAAUCUUGAACUUUAUAUUUAUAUAAGAUGACAUAUAAAUACUGGCAUUCUCAGUCUGCAAAAAAAAAAUUAAAAGCUAAAACCACUAAUUUCACAUCAAUCCAACUCUUUGAAUUUCAAAUCAAAAUAAGAAAAAUCACAUAGAAAGUUUUUUUCAUGAUAAAUUCAAUUUAGUCAUACAAAUAAUAAAGUGAAUUUAAAGAUCUAUAAAUAUUAUCGACUUGAAAAUAUUCAACUUAUCAUAAGAAGAAAAGCUAGAUUUAUAUCCUUAGAAUUUAUUAAAAAACUGAAAAUCAUAAUCAAAUAAAUCAAAUGAGAAAUAAAAAAAAAAAGAAAAAGAAUAAUACUACUCACUAUCAUACCUUAUUGUUUUUAAACUGUAUAAAAUUAUUCUCGAACGUUGAUAAAUUACUUAUCACGAGAAGGAAAAUAAAAUUUAUAUCUAAUGAUUUACCUAAAAACUAAAAUCAUUACCAAACAAACCAUAAAUAAUGUGCAUUUUUUUAUAACACAUGGUAUUUUUUAACAUUUUUCAAAUUAUUAAAAUUUUAAACAUAUUAUAUUUGAUUUGAAGUUUAGACUACACAAAAAUAAAAAAUUUUAUAUUUGUAAAUUUUGAAAUUUUAAAAAUUUAGACAUCGUAUUGUUUUUCUAUCACAUAUUUAAUUUCUACCAAAAAAACAAAUAGCAUAUUUGAUUUGAAUUUAAAAACUAAAAAAAUAUUUAUAUAUUAUGAAAAUCUUAAAAAUGUAAUUGAAAUAUUUAAAUUUUUUAUAUUGACAUAAUUAAAUAAAUUUAAAACUCAUAAAAAUGAAAAGACAAUUCAUUAUUGAAAAUUAAAUGAUGGGGAGAAAAAAAAAUGGACAAAAAAAGAGAAAUACUAAAAAAUCACAAAAAAGAUAAAUCAAACAAUCAAAUAUUAAAAGUUUCACUUUCUUUAGAAAGUUUCACCUCAACAUAUAGAAAAAAACAAUAUUUCUCCUAUAUAUAUUGGGGAGAUAGAGUAAAGGCGGGGUAAAUGAAAAUCUUUUACUUUUUUUUUAGAGAGAUUAGGAAAAUUAUAAAAUAUGAUGAAAAUAUUAUUGUCUUAUUUACAAAAGUGAAAAAUGAAUAUAUAUAGAACACACUUGAAUUAUAUAUCCUUCUUUAUUAUUAAAAGACAUUAUUUAAAUUCAGGGGUUGUGCGUCAGUUGACAACGUAGGUUGGGCAUGUGGAAAGAGCUUUAGGGUUCGUUCCUCCUUAAACACACCUACAGUGAAAGGCGAAGUCUUAACUGUGACUAAGUCCCGAGCUGGAUUAGGUGAUCCCUAGUUAUAGGGUUCGGAUAUUGGUGGUUUAUAAAAAAAAAAAAAAAAAGACAUUAUUUAAAAAGAUAAAGUAAAUUCAGGAUUUUUUAUUGAUAAAUGUGAAAAACAAAUAUUUUUCAUUUUAUAAAUUUGUUUUAUUAGUGAUAUGUACAAUUUUUCAGAAAUUUGGUGAAAUCCAAUGUUAGAAUUGAUAUUGAAUUUUAAAAAUAAUAACAAUAAAAGCUCAUUUUUCCUCUUGACUUUUUGUUUGAAGCUUUGGCCCUUCGUUGGUGCUUACCUUGGAUUUAUAAUAUGUUUAAUUCCCCUGGCUGUAUUUAUACAGACUUUUAGGCUUUAGUUUAUGCUUUCCGCUCUUUACAUGAGGACAUUUCUGAAUUAGGUUUAGUGUUGGUUGAUUGUAAAGACAUUUUUAGCAAUAGGUCUAACAUAAACGCCAGAUGGCAAGCAAACGAAGGAGUUCAUUUUCUAGCUAGAGCUUUCUACAUGUACGCUCGUUUUCAGGAAUGAGAUUCUAUCCCUCAUUUCUUGUUACCCUUUUAUAUUUCUAAUAAUGCUAAGAGGUAUUUUCUUUAAAAAAAAAAAAAAAAAAAAAGAAAGAAAGGUGAAAAACAGAAGGAUAAAAAGGAAAAAAGAAAAGGAAUAUAAUAAAAAAAUUCAUAUUUGGGAAUGAAUGUAUAUAUAUAUAUAUAAUUCUGAAGAAAAAAUAACUUUAAAAAGCUAAGUUGAUACUAUGUUGUUUCAGUAUUUCCUUCUUCAUUUUUAUAGAAAUUUUUGAAUUUUUCUUUUUUUUUUCUUUAUUUCUCUCUAUAUAUAUAUUUUUUAAAAAAAUUAUUUUCUCUAAAUAGAUAUAUAUAUAUUCACUUCGAAUUUUUUUAAAUACUUUAUUAUGUAUAAAAUACCGAUAUCUGUUACAUAUCUAUAUCUUCUACAAAGUGAUCUAAAGCUCAUAAUCUCUAAUAAAGACACUUCACUUCCUAGGCUUUCUUUUGAGUUUUUCUUUUUCUUUUUUAUUUUUUUUUGCAGUCAAAUAAAGGCUAAUUAUGUGUUUCUAUUAUGAAAAUUCUAGGCCUUCAUCCUUAAAUGCAUUAAAUUUUAUCUUCUAAAUUUUGUUAAGUUUUUCUAUUUUGGACGAAGCCAAACAGAGACUAAUUUCAUAUUUUUGUGAUGACAAUUUCAAGCUAAGGAGUGAAAGCAAAAGUUCAACUUUGAGAAGAGUUAAGGAAGCUAAAGUACAUUGUGAAUUUUCUCCAAUAUUUUCAUUUUUUUUAUAUUUAUUUACAUUUGUGUGUAAAUUUUAUUUAGAUGCUACUUAUUGCGAAUUAUUUCUGCAAAAUGCUAAAUACAAGAAUUAUUUCUUAGAUAAUUUUAUCUGCAAGUUCUCUUUUAUUUUGUUUUUUCAUUUGAUUCCCAUCCCAAAAGUUCAAUUAGAAUUCAAUCAUGGAAUGUAUAAAAGUAGUAGUCAGUUCAAUUGGCACAAAAAUAGAAGAUUUAGUUGUAGGAAAAUGAAUUCACUUAAUCAAAUCCAAAGUUUAUUGUUGUUAAUGGAUCAAUGGAGAAAUCAAAAUGAGUAUUUGAAUAUGGGAAAUUAGGAUUUUAAUCGUGGGAUAAGUAUAAAGGGUGAAAUGUACUUUGUGAUUAUGAGAAAGGCUGAUUUAGUCCAAAGAAAAUGCAUAUCGGUAUAUAUAUAAAAGCAGAACAGUCUGCAUUAUAUGAAAACUAAGUGUAAGCCGCUAAAAUUGCCAAGUAUAAGGAGGAUAAUAAUUAUUUAGCACAAUUAUAAGAAGAUAAGGUGUAAUGACAACAAUUGUAAGAAGAUAAGUUAUUUUAUAUUUUUAGAUAAUAUUUUUGUCAUGAUAAUAUCUAUUAGUUAUAUCCCAUCAAGAUAAUGCAUUCAAUUAAAUUAAAAUAUAAAUAAUCAAGCCAUAAAAUAAGAAAUAAUUAAUUUAUACUAGGAGCUAGGUUGCACGGACACAAGACACGAGAUAUGGAACGUAUGAGAUAUAUGAUAAUAAAUAAACAAUCAUUUUUUAUAAUAAAUAAAAAAUAAAAAAUAAUUAAUUUUUUAUUUUAAUAUAAUUAGUUUAAAUUAAAAUUAAAAUACAUAUAACCCACACUAUAAAAUAAAAAAAAAUAUUUAAUUUUUUAUUUUAAUAAUUACCUUGACAUAUGGAGUAGUCUUAUAUACCGGAAAUUCGGUUGCACAGACACAAGACACGAAAUACGGGAACGUACGAGAUAUAAUAAUAAAUAAAUAAUCAUUUAUAAUAAAUAAUAAAUAUCAAAUAAAAAAUAACUUAGUUUCUUAUUUCAAUAUAAUUAGUUGAAUUCUCAAAAAUAUUAUCGGUAUUGAAAAAUCUAUAUCUAUCUAUAUAAUAUAUAAAAAUAUGGUAGUUUGCUUUAUAUAGAAACCAAGUGUAAGUGGCACAGUUAAUUUGCUUUAUUGUAGGAAUUGAAUUGAAUCAAACCGAAUUAGUUUGAUCGGUUUAGUCUGUUUUUUCAUUUUUGAUAGAGUCGGUUUGGUUUUUGUAAGUUUAACCAAUGGAUUUUGUAAAACUAAAUCAAACUGUCUUGAAACUUUAGUUUGAACCGAAAUAAAUUGAGAAUCAAACUUAUUGUGAGCAAAAGCUAACUGCACCAAACUAAAUAGUAUUGGUUUGGUUUUGGAUUCGAAAUAUCAUUUUGGUCACCCAUAGGUGGAGGUUCUCUCCUAAGUCUCUAUUUGAUGAACUGUAAUAGUGUAUAAUAUAAUAUAAUUAAAUGCAUUUUUAAUAAUAUUUUAUAUUAGAAAUUAUUUUAAUUUGAUAGGACAUUUAGUUUAGCUUAUUCACACGUAGCUGAUUUACACCCAAUAAUUAUGCAAGAGAUUUUAAUAAAGUUUAUAAUCAGCACCUAGUUAGUAGCCGAUAGAAAUUACAAUCAGCUGCGGAUUCACAUUUGUAUUAUAUUUUGAUAAUAUUAACCUUAUGAAAUAAUUACUAAUAAAAUUAUUUUCUUUUUUUAAAUUAACAUUUUUAUAUACUCAUUUUACUCAUAAAUAAUUAUUUAAAAUAUUAUUAUAAAUUAAUAUAUUUUUUAUAUAACACACUAAAAUAUAAAAUAAAUAUUUAACUUAAAAAAAUAUAUAUGAUAUAUAAUAAUUUAGAAAAAUAAUUAUACCCUUAACAACCAUUGUAUUUCAACAAUAACCACUACUAAAAUUUUAUCAAACAAUCAAUAUUUAUCGGGUAACAGCUAUCAGUCAUCAUCCAUCAACUAAUACGAACAAAUAAACUAAACAGGUCCAAUAUUACUUUACUCAAAUGGAAACUCAUAACUAUAAUGUAAAAACCCACAAACAUGAUUCAACAAAGGCGCGGUUAGGUAAUUGACUGAGGUAAGCAAACGGUUUCUUGUCUAAUUGGCAACACAGCAAAGUGAUUCAGCAUGCUAAGAUUAGGUAUUUGACAAAAGACAGGGCAAAAUGAGAGCACUAAUUGACAAAACAUACAAGAACCAAACCAAUAAGCAACUAACCCACCAACACCAAAUAUCCAAAGAGCCAAAAAAAAAUAAAAAUAAAAAUAAAAAUAAAAAUAAGAAACAAAAAAGUGAAUGCAUACACUCAUAUUCACUUAGCCCCAACACACUAAUUUAGUAUAAUUAGCAAUAAUGGCCAUUGAGUAUAAAUUUCAAAUUAUAAUCCAACUUGUCCAUUAUUGGGAUUAUCAGUGGUCAUAUUUUGAGAUUUUGCUCUUAAAUCAAGUCAUCUUUAGAUUGUUAAUACCAUUAUGAUAAUUUUGUUUAUAAUAUUUUAUUAUUUGGGUAGUUAUGCAACAAGAAAUACAUAUUUUCUUUCCGAUAAAAGGAAAAAAUUUGAAAAUGAUCAAAUCAGACUUAUAGAUGAUCAUAUUAAACUUAUAGAAAUACCAUCAAGUCGAACAGUUGCCAUGAAUAGCCACCAAGUGAAACAAACAAUCGAUUAUGACACAUGUAUUAUGCCUAUUGACUUGAUCGAACACUUUAAAUUAAAAUUUUCAUUUUUUAAUCUUUGUAUAAAUGGUUUACUAUUAGACUUAUUAUACAAAAAUAUAGAAAUGUAUUAAUAUAUAUUUCAUAUCUGUAUACAUUUCCUUUCAAUUUACGGUUUGAUUUCUUUAAAAAAAAAAUUAUAAUCCAACUUCAUAAAAUAUAAUUAAAAAAAAAUAAUUUAUCUAAGUUAUACUCCACGACCAUGUGUUAUGGUACCUAUUUUCUUUUGUUGUUAUUCACUCACAUGAUCCCACAAUCUCUGCUUAAAUAAAAACCCAUGUCCUUUCUUUUCUUGUUGAGAACUAUUUCAGUACCUGCUACUUAGUAGUGGUCUUUACGUUGAGUGUGAUGUUCCAAGAAAAUUCCCCUAAAUUUCAUCACUUAAUUCCCUUUUUGCUUUUUCAUCAGAUAAUGGUUUCUCUUUUUCUAUUCCCAUGUGUGUUUGCUUCUUGGUGAAGAAAAUGACCCUCCACCGUCUGGGCACUGUAGAUACUGAAUUAAGUCACAGCCACUGCUAGUCUAUUAUUGGAUUAACAGCUUUUUAAAAAUUGAUAUAAUAAUUUUCUUUCACUCAAAUAACAAAAGAAGAAGAAGAAGAAGAAGAAGAAGAAGGGAUAUUGCUUUCUUUUGCAAAUAUGUAUUCUUUUUUUUAAUCUUUUUUUUUAGGAAUUGUAAGAAAUAUAUAUAAUUAUUAAUUACUGAAGCCGAAACCUUCUAGACACGAAACGUAGAGAAUUUUGAAUGUAGUAAUGUGCAUAUCCAAUGAGUGGUCCUAGUUGCUCUAUCUCCACUGCAGGGAGAUUGAAUUAAAGGUCCUCGAUCAUUGUCAAAAAACAUUUUUUUUUUUAUUUUAAACUUUACCUUAUUAACUAAGUAAAUUAAAUAGCCUUACGCUCCAUUCGAUAAGAGCGUUCAGUAGUAUUUAGUAUUUUAAUUAAUUAUUGUAUUCCGUAAUUUGAGGCAAUGUUUUAUCAAACAAUAUCCUCAUUAACAUUUAGCAUUUUAUAAAUUUUUUAUCAAUUUUUGCCCAACACUUGUCUUUGUCUUGUUCUCUAUGACCUUAUCAUUUUUUUUUUUUUGUCUUUUUAUAUUAAACACACUUAUUUUUAUCUAAUACCUUUUAUUUCAAACAACUAACUACUAGUAAAACAACUAACAUCUACUACAAUAGCUAACAUCUAUUAGAACCGCUGAAAUUGCCCCUGUUUGACAUGAGUUAAAACACUAUAUCUAUCAAUUAAAUUAUUCGUUAACUUAAUAUUUAUAAUAGUUAUUAAAGGUUAGGGAGCGUUUCAUCAAAAGUUAAAUCCCUUAUGCUCCAUCUGUUACAAUUGUUUAUUUUUAGUUUUUUAUUUAUUAUAAACAUAAAGCUACUUUUACUUUUUUGGUUACUUUAAUUUCUCAAAAUUGUUUUUUUUUCCUAAAAUUAUUUUUUCCUUUUUUUUAGUUCAUAAUGUGAAAAAUUGUUCCAAUUAUCAAAUCUCUCCCUUGACUUUAGUUAAUAAUAAAAAAUCUAAAAAUCUAAAAAUAUAAAAUCUAAGACAAAAUAAUUAAAAAUAUUUCACACUUUAAUUUUUAAAUUCAAAGUUAAAUUAAUUAUUGAUUAUUAUGUCUACAAUCAAUUGAAUAAAAAUAUAAUAUCCAAGUAUUGUAAUAAAUAAAUAAUACUAAAUGACAUUAUAUUUAUAUAGAUAAGAAAAUAAUAAUAAAUAUAAAAUAAUACUAAAUAGAGAAGAGAUUGAAAAAAAAAAACAUAGAAUUUUAAUAGAGAUAAUAAAACUAAUGCUUAUAUAUUUUGGAUAAAUAAAUGACAUUAGAUUUAUAUGGAUAGAGAUAAUAAUAAUAAUCAUACAACUUUAUGAGCACAAGUCUUAUAAAAAAUGAAAAAGAAAAGGAGGAAUGUAGAAUAAAAACAGAAAGCACAAGCAUAAUUACAGAAACUAUUAUUUUUUUGUUUCAUAAAAUUUAUUUUUUUGUUUUAAAAAUCAGUUUUCUAAAAAGUAAAGAAAAAAAAAUUAAACAAAUUUAAACAAACAAGUUUUUUGUUUAUUUUUUAAGGAAAAAAAUGAAAAAACCAAAAACCAAAAACUUAAUCUAAAACAAACAGCACCUUAACAUUUAGGGUUUUAGAUUUUAUGUUUUGACACUCUUAUCCAUUUUUUUUUCCUUAUUUUUAAGACUUACAAUUCUAGUUACUAUAACACUCCUUUGAAUUUGGUAUUCUUAUUUUUUAUUUAAUUUUUCUUUCCCAAAUCUCAAAGGAAUAUAUAUCAUCUUAAUUAUUUAAUUAUUUUAUUUCUAUUGUCUUAAAACAAGGAUAAGAGCAUAUUGUCAAAAUUAAAUAAAAAUUAGAAAAAAAUUUGUCAUCUUUUCAUUUUAAUUUUAUAAAAAAUAAUUUUUAUUAUAGAAAAAAAUUAAAAUAAAAAAUAAAAAAUAUGAUAAUAAUUUAGAAAAAAAACACUUGUUAUAUAUAUAUCUUAUUUUUUAUCAAUUAGUCCAUUUCAGUACCAUUGCCAUAAUUUUUUUUUUUUUUUUGGUAAAAAAUGGAGAGCAACGUUCUGAGUAAACAUUGACCUCUAUAUUAUCAUGAAGAAGUCAUUCUACCAUUUCUGGAGGCGGCUGCAUGAGAAGAUGAGUCCUUGACGGAUAGGUUCUUGCAUAUCUGAAAAGGUAAUCCCCGCAAUAGCUCACUUCUCUAUAAACAUGUUUGAUCACACAACCUUGAAAUUGUGUAAUCGGCUGCUGAAUAGCAAACACUAACUGCUGAACUGCCCCUGAAGAGGAAGCAUUAUCCGAGAUGAGUUGCACAUCAAUCCAUAAUUUAAAAUUUUAGUAGUUAAUCAAAUAUUUAUUUUUAUCAAAUACGUAUGCUUUAAAUCACUAUAUAAACAGUUAAUAACUAACAUCUAAUAAUUAAUAUCUAACAGUUACUAAAACAGUACAAAAUUACUAGAAUAGCUAACAACUACUAUAAUAAUUAAUAUUGCCGAAUAGACCCUUAAUUAAUAAGGUAUUUUAAUUUCUAAUUUUAAAUAAAAUAAAAUACUAGUUUUGUAUUUAUCAAAAAGAAUUUUACCUAUCUUAAAUUGAAUAGACGUAAAACCAUAAGGUACAUUUUAGGUAGAUUUUAUCUACUUUCUCAUUUAUUUAAUUAUAAUAAUAAAUUCAUAAAACAUUUAGAAGCAUUGGCCAAGGAGCCUCUUAAAUUGGUGGAACCGUCUCUUAAUUAUUGCAUGUGACUGUGAAUAGUUGAUAUUUACGUGACUACAGUACCUAAACCCAUCUACAGAUAUAAUUAAUUGAAAGCGGUAAUGAGACCACCAGUAAGUCUUCCCACUCCAAUAGAAAAUGAAUAAAUUUUAUCUUGUAAUUUGCAAGUGAGGACUUUUAUUUAUUAAUGGAGGGAAUAUAAUUUUCCUGUCAAGUUAGACUUAUCCACCUAAUUAUUUUUUCUUCUAUUUUUUUUAUAUAAAUACUAAAUACACAAUAAGAUAAAAAAUGAAAUUAUAGCAUGCCACAUAUUUAUUUUCUUAAUUUCUAACAAGUAUUUUCACAUCCUCUUUGGACAGAUGAUUUUCAUUUCAAAGUUAAUUUAUGACUGCUUUCUCCUUCUCACGACAUCUCCCAAUAUGAAGUAAUAUUCCCUUAUUAACAAAAAAAAAAAAAAAAAAAAAAAAACUAGUAAAUUGCAGUCAAAUAUUUCAAUUUUUGAUUUAGUUGAGUCCAUAAGUAGAGGGGAAAAAGUUAAUAUAACGGCUAGCUAGUGUGUGUAUGCAAUUCAUUCUUGAUAAAAUAAUUCAAUUUCCUUCUCAAAUUAAAAAAAAAAAAAAAAAAAAAAAAAAAAAAAAACUCAAUUCAAAAAGUUGUAUCUUAAAAUAAUAAAUAACAAUGAUGAGGAAGAUCCUCUCUUUGCCUAAAAAUUAAAAAACCUACAAUUAUAAAUUACUUUUGUCGACUUUUUCUAAUAAUGAUUAUAAAGAAAGGUAGAUAAUAUUUUGCCCCCUUCACCGUAUCCUUGCAAUCUCCACUCACAUGCCAAAUCCUCACUACUACACCCACAAUUUUCUCCACCAUCCACCGCAACCGCAACAGCCACCGCCACCGCCACCGCCACCAUCCCAUUUUUCAAUUAUUCCUCUUUGUCAAUGCAAUGUAUUAAGCCUCUAAAAUUAUAAUAAUGUCCAAUACAAUGUGACUUAUUCAAUUAUUUAGUGUAUGGACAAAAUGAACCAGCUCAUGCACAACUCUGUUUCUUGAAUCCAAAUCUAUCAUUCUCCAAAUCAUACUCUAUAUAAAAAUUCUGCUGUUGAAAAUUCCCCAAGAUUAUCGCCGGACCACCGCCGCUACGACCGCCCUGAGUAGCCCCAUUAUCGCUCACAAUUGUUAAACAGACAACAUCCAGAUCAACAAAAGCAAAAUAAUUAGACAAAGGCAGUUGCAUUUUAGCACCACCUUUAAAGUGGAAAAUCAAUUCCGGUACAAGAACCGAGUUCUCGCCAGAAAUAUUGAAACACGGCCUUAAACCGGUCAGUUUUUGAACGUCAGUUGCUACUGAAUAAUUACCCAUUUGCUUUUCAAACUCUUUAGCUACUAAAUCAAAAACCAGGCCUUCCAUGAACGUAAAAGUUGCGCCGGAAUCCACUAUAGUCCCUCCAUUACCGUCAGAUCCCGGAACCAAGAAACUGUACGGAACUUUAACAUGCCGGUCGCCGACGAUAAUUUUCCUUAGCAUUACAUAGUAAUAUUCUUGGAAUGCUACGUUCGACCCGACCGGAUUUUUUAAGAACGGUGUGUAACUAACGCCUUGAGUCUCGCCGGAAAUCGGACCCAUAUCCAAAAUAAGGUCACUACUCACCGGAGUGUCAUCAAACUGGCGAGAUAUUAAACAAUAAGAGAAUUUUUUAAGACCCAAUUGUAAAGGGAGAGAUUCGGGGGCCCGACCAAACCCGGCAAUUCCUUCAGGUUGACGGGUAGAGAGAAGAGAGCAACCGACUACAAAAUCGGUUACCGUUUUAUUAGGGAAAUCAAGAGACUCUACAAGUAAACGACCAGCCGUAGAGCCUAAGCCGUACUGAACUACAUAAGGAGGACAAGCUUGAUCAGUACAGUUUUGACUAUUCGGGUCGCAGUGAAGACAUUGGGACUGAACAUUGGAUCCAAAAAUCCAUGCACAUUUCGGAUUCUUGCAACCCACAAGUUUUGAAGAAGAAGAAAGUUUAGGUAUAAAUUUAUCUAGUUUCGUUAUAUCAGUAUUUGGAAAAUUACAGUCUGCACAGAGAUAACGAGAGGUACAAGGAAACCAAACGAGACUACUACCUGUGUCCAUGAUAAAUUGAACUUUUUGCGGCGGUGUACCGAAACUCAAAGACAUUGAAUACCCGCCAUAGCUACGAGAGUAUAGAGGGGUUUUGAUGAGAGAAAAUUUGGUUUUAGGCGAUUUGAGAUGGUGAGCCCUGGAGAGAGAAAGUGAAGCUAAAUUGUUGAGGAUUUUCGAUGGAUCUGAGGAAGAUGGAUGCUUUGUUGAAGAAGAAAGGGGGAUUGUUAUUGUGGUUGGUGAUGUAAAAGGGAAAAUGAAGAAGAGAAAGAGAAGAAAAAGAAUUGCAGCCAUGGAUGGAAGAAGCAAACCAGUGGGUGUUUUUUUGUAGUUUUGUAGCUUCUGUUGUGUAGUCUUAUAGAGGAAGAAACCAAAGUAACGGUAAGGUGGAGAAUAUGUUCCAUUUGGGAGAUAUAAUUGACUUUCUUCUUUUCAGUCGCUGGUAAAGUAAAUUACUGUAAAGUUAUAAAAUAGCCUAUUUUCAUCUUUGUUCUCAAUUCGCGGGGAUAGCUCAGUUGGGAGAGCGUCAGACUGAAGAUCUGAAGGCCGUGUGUUCGAUCUACGCUCACUGCAAUAAUUAUAAUAUUUAUCAUAAUUUUUUUUAAGUGUAUCACAUUCCAUUCUAUUUUUUUAAUCAAACAUUUUUUAUUUUAUAACGUUGAAUUCUAUUUCAUAGUUUAAAAUUUUAAAAGUUCCUUAAUUUUAAUAAAUAAAUAAAAAUUUUGAAACUUAAACAUUUAUUUAUUUAAAUGAAGUUUAAAAUAGUAAAAAUUAUAUAAUUACUGAUAAAGAAAUUUAUUGCAUUAAAAAUAUUUAUAUUUUAAAUAUAAUUAAAAGUUAAAAUAAAUUUUAGAAUAUUUAUUUUACAACUCCGUUCCCUAUUGCACAUACAAUUUUAGUUUAAAUAAAUCAAAUAAAUUAUUACUUGGUAAUUGAUAUUAUUAUUUCAUCCCUACUCUUGACAUAAAUUAUUAUAAAAGUCUCUAAUAUUAUUGUGAGGUCUUUCUGUCCACAAAUUAUUCAUUUUCCCUUUAUACAGACUAUGAUAUUUGGCUAUUUAGUAAUUCACAUUUAAUAUAAUAUUACUAUAUUUAGUCCCCUACAUUUAACACGACAUUAUUAUAUAAUUUCCUGUUUACCAGCAAAAAUGUCACUUUCGAUGUAAGGACUAAAUAGUUUAACAACUUUAAAAAUUAGAGCCAAUCUAAUUAUUUAGUCAAAAUGCAAGAAUUAAGUAACAGUAGAAUAAAAUGUCAGACUAAAUAACAAAAAUUUAGUCUUUUUUCGUUUUUUUAGCAACACGCAGAUAUCAUUAACUAAAUCCUUCAUCUGUUUCAAAAUAUACAUCAUUUAUGAUUUUUGCACAUAUAUUAAAGAAGAAAUAUUUAAUUCUCCUAAAUUAUAACAAAAUUAAGAGUAUUUGAUGAAAUUAUUAUUAUGACGAUAAUUAUUGUAUCUAAUAUAUAUAGAGAUUAACAUUAAAAAUAUAUUAUUUUUUACUUUUUAAAAUACUUAAAAUAUCUUAUACGUUGGGAAAGAAUAAUUACCCAAAAAUUACUUAAAUUUUGCAACGAAGGUAUAUAAAUUGGAACAAACUCAUUUACCAAGAAGCCCAACUCUUAAUUAACAAGUCCUCGACUUAGAUUUAGUGAUUGUACUAUUAACACCAAUUUAAAAAAUAAUAAUAAUUGAUAAAAAAAAUAAUUAGUAAGGAAAAAAAAAUCUUUAGCUCCUUAUAAUCUAAGCUUAAAAUUAUAUUAAUAACGUGGAAGGUAAAUCUAUUUUAUAAUCAUAGAUAUAUUAAUAAUCUGAUGAAUGGUUGCUUCUUUCUCCAUGAGCAAGACCAAAGACUUUUGGUACAUAGUAGUAUAGUACAAUAAAAAUAAAUGAAAAAUGUCCUUAAAUUUGAAAAAUAUACGUGAAAAUCAACAACUUUUUUUAUUAAAAUUAUUGAAAAAGUUAUUACAAAUAAAUUUAAAAUUGAUUAACUAAUAUUAGAGUGCAAAAAUCUCUAAACUUCACUCGUUGUCCUAAUUCCAUGUUUUUUUUUUCAAUUUAAACUGAGGCAUGAAAUUAAUUUCAAAAAGUUUUAUUUUAAGAUGUAAUUCUGAGUCUUUAACUAUAUUUAUGUGCUAUCACAAUAAGAUGGUGGUCUGAUCAAUCUUUUCACUUAUGUGAGAAGUGAAAAGUGAAAGAUUUUGAAUUUGAAUCCAUUCAAUCACAGUUGUUUCAACGAUAUAGUGAUAAGAAAAAAUUAAAGCAUUUUCUAAUGGACACUAAACCCCACACAGCACCUAAUUCCUUUAAAAGGCAAACCAAAGAAAAAAGAAAAACAAAAAGGUGAAAAGCACCCAACAGAGAAUUAUUCUUAAAAUGUAAAAAGAAAAGAAAAAUCCAAAUCCAGCUAGCUGUAGUAGCUAAGCAAAAUGCGUGGCAUUGUUGCAGUUUAGGAUGAAAACUGGUGCAGAUUUAUGAAAGCUCCAAAUCCGAAAGGUACCGAAUUGACCUCGCAGGAAACCCUUUUUAGCCGUUGAAAAAGCAUUUUCGUGGCAAUUUACUGGCUCAUGUACAUGACGUGGCGCAUAAUGAUACGACUACAGAUCAACUUUGGCUGCUUCCAAACGAAUAAAUUAUUCUUAAUCAAAUUGUGUUGGAAAAGAGAUUAAACGAGUAGUAAAAUUUAUUUACCAAAGUGAUCGGUGCCAAUAGUUAAUAUUGAUAACUAAGAGAUUGAAGUCAUUUCACUUUGUGAAAUAUCAAAUAAUAAGAUGAGAAAUAAUUAAUGGCACAAAAAGUAGGUUUUGUUCUUGAAUUAGGGAAAGCACAGGACUCUGGUUUAGCAGAGUUAGAUCUUGUAUCUUGAUAUUUCGGAUUUUAGGCAGUUACCUUAGAGGGAAAUGUCUAGUGAAGCUUGUUUUGUAACGUUGUGAAAUAAUAAGUCAAAUAACGUUUCAUGACUCUCCACGUAAAACCACUGAACCUUCUAUGUGGGUUUCCCUUCAGUUUUACUUCUUCUCUAUGAUUUUUUCCCCUCCUGUUUUAAAAAUUGGAAAGUGACACGACAAAGAGCUUGUGAAGAUGAAAGCAGCAAAAUUUGUUUUCUUUCUUCCCUGUCACUCUCUGAAUGGGAAGCAAGCAACGCCCAACUUUUGUCAUUAAGCAGAUAUAUAUAUGACAAAUAGAAGGACCAACAAUGCUUGGUUGCGUUCUCUCUUUCAUCUUCAGAAAGGUAUAGGUCUCAGAGCUCCAUCUCCCUGGCUUCUAGCUCUUCCUUUUCUUGCUCAACUUUAUCUCACGAUUAUGAGAGGAUUGACCUUAAAUCCACAAAGCACUUGUUAGAAUUCUGGACUUUUUAGCAAACAGGCACCACUUGGUCUUGGACUCUUUUAUUGUGUAUCCCAAUGGGCUUGGCCUGCUUUAAAGACUUGGGCUCAGACCCACAAUUUGUAAGUCCACACUUUACAUUCAAAAGGAAAAACGUAACCAGAAUUAAUUGAUAAAUAGUUUUUUUUUUUAAUUGCGUUAUUGCAGUGUUAAACCCUAAAAGAUAAAACUAAGAAAAAAAAAACUUUUAUUAAUUGAAAAAAUACUUCACUAGCACAUAUAUUUGUACCAUAUAUAUAAAUAACUCUUUUCUUUACCAAUUUUUAAUUAAAAAUAGAAGCAAAUAUUUAAUGAUUUAUAAAGGCAAUUUCAAAGAAUAGCUUUUACUUGGAUUUGGACUUUCUUUUACUAAUUUCUAUAAUUAACUAUCUAGUUUAGUAUUAUUAAAUCAUAAAUUCUUUUUUUUUUUUUUUGUUAAAAGAAAUUUCAUUUUCAAGAAUAUUCCCCUCAGGUAUUAAAAAGUAAAAGAAAUUUGUUAAUACUUAAAUCUUUUAAUCUAAGUUAUAUGAUUUCCAAGUUAACACUAUUCAUUGCUUGAAUUAAAAUAAAAAAUCUCAUUCAUUAUGAGCAAUCAAAGUAUGAUUUUUUUUAUUUUUCAUUAAUCAAAUAUAUGAACAAAUAAUUCUUUAUUACUAUUAUUAUUAUUAUUAAAAGAACUUUUUUGUCUUCUUUUUUCCAUAUGAGAUUAAUCUAAUUUAGUUAUUUAUAGUUAUCUCCUGUUUAAAAGCAGUUGAAUAUUCUUUUCAUGGAUAUAAUCCAUAAGCAUGUAAAACCUCUAUGCAAAAUGUAAAUGAUAUAUAAAUAUUGCAGUACGUAAUUAAUUAAUUUUAGUUAUUUUGAUAAUGAUGGAAUAUUGACAAGUUUAAGCCCAACAAUUUGAAUAUAGACAAAUAAUUAUUUCGAUGCUUCUCCCUUACAUUUUUUAUAAAUAAUUUUUCUAUCUGUUAAGUAAAAUGGGCUUUGAAGUGUAUAGUUCGUAAAUUGUGUUAAGAAAAUGGAUGGAACUUAGAUGGACACCUGUAAAAUUUGCACUUUUCACACUACGCGAGUCGGUUCCAAAUCCAUUUAAAAUUUCUUUUGAAAUACCCAUCAUGUAAAACUUUAAUAAUCACCCUCGCUCUAUUCCCAUUUAAUUAAUAUUCAAACUUGAUUUAAAUGAAUUAGGGUGGGUAGGAUAUUCACGAAAAUCCACUCUGCCUAUAUGUGCAGUACCACCAAGUCCAUUAUAGUUGAUGUUGGUUGAGACUUAAAAGAUGGAGAUGAAAAUAAAUUAUAGUUGCUUAAUAUUUUAUUUAAGUAAUUAAUUUUUUUAAUAUUUGAUAAUAUUAAGGUUUGGAGCUUUGAGCUUGGAUUUAAUUUAUUUUAAUUUUAGCCCAAUAAGAACUUAUAUUAACAAAUUAUAUAAUGAAUUUUGAUGGGUAGAGGAUAUCCGCAAAAUCAUACCCAAUUUAAACUCGUGAUGGGCAAUUAAUUUGAUACAUGUAAUUGUCUCAAACCCAUUUAAUCAAAUACCAAAACAUAUUCUAAAUGGAUUUUUGAGAUUCAGAUACCAUGAAAACCCGUCGCACUUCCAUCCAAUUCCAAGAUCUCGGAUCGAAUCGAUGCCUAGUUAAGAAGUAUGUUUAAACUAGAGCAUAACUAUAGUAUCAGCCGAAUACAUAUAUACAUCCUUAAUUUUUUUUUUUUUAAAUUUCAUAGCACCUUUAAAUUUUAUUUUGACCUAUUAAAACACUUCAAUUUAUAAAAUUUUAUCGAGUACUUUAACUUGUAGAAUUAUUUUAUUAAGUAUUAAUUACAUCAAUUAAACACAUAUUGGAUAGUUGAAAAAUGUAAAAAUUAUUGUUCUAAAAAUUCCGUUAACUACACAACAAGUUAAUAUUUUGAAUAUAAAAGCCCAAAUCCUUAGAACCAUCGUUGUUAGCAUGGAAACGUGUAUAUUGCCAUAAUAAAUUUACAAUUUCAAAUGCAUGAUAGAUUAUUCACAAAAUUAAUUUGGGGUGCUACAAAAAUAAAAUUACAAGGUUCGGGAAUAAAUUUACGUAUUUGGACCCUAAGUAUCUCUAGAACAUAUGCAUAUGAGCAUGUGAUACGCUAUCAUGUUUCAAGUGAUUCUCGGAGAUCAUAUCCUUCAACGAAGGAUUAGAUGAUGUAAGAUCAAUACAUAAAUGGAUCUUUCGAUAUUGUGAAUAUCUAAUGUUAAGAUUUGGCUGUCCAUUUUGCCCUAAUGCACGUUUUUCCUACACUAAAAAAAAAAAAAAAAAUAAUCCCUUCCCAUUUCAAAACAAACAAACAAAAGACACAAACACACCCUUCUUUGGACAUAAACCAAAUAUUAAAAAAAAAAAAAAAAAGGUCUUCUAGAAAAUCGUCUAUGAUUUUGGAGUAUAAUUCUAAUCAAAGUUAAAUUAAUAAUAAUAAGAAGAUCUUCAAAAAAAUACAUUUUUCCUCUCGUGAAAACCAAAUCUUAAUUUUCUGAAGUAAUUAGUCUGUUUUUUGAAUGAAAAUAAAUUAUAAGGUUAGUUAGUACUUAGUAUAUCGUAUUAGGAAUUCUAAUGACCAAUUGGUUUGAUAAAAAAUAGUUGACCAAAUUCAAAAAAUGGAUUGGUCCCAAGAUUUAUUUGACUAAAUUUAUAAUAUGCUAUAAUAAAUCUAUGGUUAAAUUUCAUACAUGAAAUAAAACUUAGUAAUAAACAACGUAAUUAAAUAGAAAUGAGAAAAAUUUAUAUCAUUUGGUUGUAUAAUUACAAAUAUGUAAUAAAAAUUUAUAUAAUUUGAUUGUACAUGUCAAGAAUAGAGAUAUUAAGUUCGAAUUCUUUCAAUUAUAUAAAUUUUAACUAAUUUAAUAAGCCAAUAGAAGAGCUACCUAGUUUGUGUAGCUCGGCUUAUUGAGACUUCCAAUAAAUUAAAAUAUUUUAAAAUUUAUAUUAAAAAGGUUUUUAUUUUUAUUUUUUGUUCUCUCACUUCUAUUAGUUUUAAUAAAAUUAAAAAAAAUAUAUAUUUUUCUAUAAAGUAAUAGUUUUAGUGAAAGAAUAAUUUAGUUUUUAUUGAUUAAUUUUCUAUUUUUCCUAAAUGUGAAAAGAAAAUACAGAAAAUCUUCUUUAACGAAUGAAACAUAACAAAAUGAGUAUCUUGGAAAAUAGUUAAGUAAUUGAAAGUUGAAGCGACCUAACCGUCGAGGGAUGUUGUAGUUGUAGUUCUAGGUGGCGAUUAGUUCCAAAGAUAUUGAAGAUCUCUAUAGCAUCCAUCAAUGCAGUAUUUACCUUACCUGACAGACACAACUACGGGCCGACACGUCAUUUCAUUUUAAUAAUUCAGACACACCUUCUUCUAUAUGUCUCUCAUCUAAUCAUCUUGUCACUUUCUCAGGUCACGUCGGUUAUUUUGCCGGCGGCUGGUUGCACGUGUGUCCACUAGUAAUCUUUUCUAUCGGGGUCCACGCACUUCAGAUUUAGUAGAUAACGAUCGGACGGUUCAAAAGGAAUUGGCUAUUGAGAUUUAAAACGUGGCAUUCGGUAAGGAACUGUGUCUAUAUGUCGGCAAAGUGAAUAGAAGCCGUAGUUGAAUAGAAGUUUUGCUCUUAGGGAACUUUAUGGCCUUUCUGGAAGAAAGAGGCCACUAUUGUAGGCUUAGAUGUCGCUUUGGGCCCCAGAAAAAGCCCUUAACGAAUUACUUUAAUUAAAUAAUAAAAUUGAUUAUUUUAAUAUCACCUGCUUCUAAUUUUAUUUUUUAGAUAUGCAAGUGAUUCUUAAAUUUUAUUCUAAUUGCAAUUAUAAAAGAAUAUCAGGGAAAACUUAACAAUACACAAGCUUUUUUUUCUUAUCAUCCUUAUAUAAAUUAGGAAUUUUUUGGAAAAUUUAUAUGCAUAACAUAAAUUUUAUUGGUUUCUGACGCUUGAAUUUUAAAUAUUAAAAUGAAAAAUAAAAAAUAAAAUAUAACAAAAUAAAAGAUAAUAAUAAAGAUAAAAACUACAAUUUUUUGAUCGGAUUAAAUUACUUCUUAAAUACUGUAAUAAAAAAAUUAAGCAGCAAUAACAACAACUAAAUUCAAUCGCUUCUUUAAAAACAACUUUAAUCUCAAAAUAAUUUGAGCCAACGAUAUGAAUCAUUUGUUUUAAGUAUACACUUUCAUCAUAUGCAAAAUAAAUUAUAAGUUGGAAAAAAUAUUUUAAACUACUCUAUCCAUUUCACUUUAAUAGUAAUAAAUGAACAUUUUUCCUUAUUCCAUUUUAAACGCUUAUUUAGAAUUUUGAGGGUAUAUUUUUUUCAAUUUUAUCCAUAUUUAUUAAUUGUUUUGUAGCAAAAUUAAAUAGGAGCUUUUAAACUAUUUCAUAUUGUAUAGCCCACAGUGUUAUUUUACCUCAUAAAAGCUUCUAGUGAAUUAAAAGAAAAUCGAGAGCUUUUAAUUUAAGUCGGGCAAUUUAGACAUUAUGCCAUAUAUUUUUAGAAAUCAAUUGUUUUUUUUUAUCCGUGUGAAAAUAUUAAAUGUUACUAUUAAAACGAAGGUCGCAUCUUUAAAAAAAAAUUUUUUGAAAAGAAAAUUUAAAGCAUUUGUUAUAUUAAUAAGUAAAACAAAGUACAACUAAUAACAAUUUUUUAUUUAUGUUUAAAUCAUUACAACAAGUUUAUUGAAAGAGAGAAUGUGAUUUAAAAAUUUUAGAGUUGAAUAAUCCGAUUUACGUAUCUCUCGUUCCGCCCUCCGACUUGUAAUUUUUGGAUGACAUGGCACAAAUUCCAACAAAAGAAACAAGGCAUGCAAAUUAAGCACGUCUACCAUUUGCCACUAAUAAGCAAGCAACAAAACACUGUCGUUUCAUUCGAGCACUAAACCGGUAAUCCAAAAAUAUGAAAAUCUGUAAAUUCAAUAAAAAAAUUCAAGAAAUUAAAUUAAAAAAUUUGAAAAAUAAAUAUAGAAAAUAAAUAUGAAAAAUCUACAAAUUCAAUCAAAAAUCUAGAAAUUAAACAUAGAAUCUAUAAACUAAAUAUAGAAAUUAAAUAUGAAAAUUUGGAAAUUAAACCAGAAAAUCUAAAAAUUAAAUAUAACAACAAUCGAUCAAAAAUCCGGAAAUUAAAUAUGGCGACUGUCAAUAAAAAGAAAAAGAAAACUAAAAUUUAUACUCCAUGAAAAUAAUACAGUGAGAUUUAGUAAGUAAUACAGUGAUUUUAUCCAUGAAAAUUAUGACGGAUUGCUACGAAAUAAUGCAUCGAAAAAUGAAAGAAAAAAGAAAAGGAAGAAAGAAAGAAAGACGUCAAUCAAUCAAAGAGGCACAAAUCAAGGAAAGGGGUAAUGAUUACAAUAGAAACACACACCCGCUUGCCAAUGCAUCAACAGCAAUUCCUUUGCUUUGUAAUCUACGUCCAUAACAAAAAUCUUCUUUUCCAAAAAACAUUUAGAAACAUUUUCUAAAAUUAUAUUUUUCCACGGAUUUAAUUAUAUUUCACUUAUUUAUUUAUUUAUUUCACUUGGAUAAAUUUCAAAACAUAUGACUAUAAAAGUUAAACAUGGUAUUAUAUUUAAUUUGAUACAUAAAUGAAUUAUAAGUUCAUUUAAAUCCAUGAUAAAGAAAAAAUAAUUAAAAAUAAAAAUAAGUAGUUAAACAUAAUUAAUAACUAAGAAAAUAUGUAAAAAAGAUAAAAAAGAAAAUGUUGAAAUAAAAUAGUGCCAACCGACAAGGAAAAAAUAAAUAAUUAAAAAUAAAAAUAAUCAGUUAUAAGUGAUUAAUAAAUAGAAAAUCUGCAAAAAAAAAAAAAAAGGAGAAAAUAAAAAGGAGAGUGCCAACCUAGCUUCUUGAAGUUUUUCUUUUUUUGUUUUUAUUUCCUAUUAAAGAGAUGAAUGUCACAGUAGAAAUUUAAACUUUCAUUUUGUUGACGUUGACAUAAAGAUUAAUGAUAAUUGAUAAAAGGUUCGAUUUGAAAAAUAUAGUUAUUAUUAAUAAAAAAACUUUAAAAUAAAGCAUAGAUUAUGGAUAAUAUAAUCUAAAAGGAUAAAGGUUUAUAAAUUCUUGAUAAAAUGAAAAUAAAUAAUUAAUAAAUAAAUAAUCUAUAAAAAAAGGAAAUACUUAGAUAGAGGAGUGCCGAUUGAGAAGGGAAAAUAAAUAAUUAAAAAUAAAAUUAAGUAGUUAAAAAUGAUUAAUGAAUAAAAAAAAAUGAAAUACCGAGAUAGGACAGUGUAGCUCAGCUUUUGAAGUUUUAUUAUUAUUAUUUUUUUGCUUUCAUAAUUAUACUGAUAUAUAGACAGAUUAGUGAAAUAGUUUUUUUAAUUUUUCUAAAAAGAAAAUCAAAAUUUAAAAUUAGGUGCGGGGUUUAAUAGAAUUGUUUAAAGUGUCAUUUUUUUUAAAUUUAGUACUAUGUGAUUAUAUGUCAUUGGUGUUAAUCAUGAUUCUAAUUUUUUUUUUUUUUUUUUAGUUACAUGAGAAAGCAAGAAAAAAAGGACUACCAAAUCAUGAUAAUGAGACUACUGAUCUUUUUUUUUUUAAUAAAAUAAAGAUACGGGCUAAAAAAUCGUCAUAAAUAAAAUAUAAAUUCAAAUUUAUGAAUAGAUAAUCUAAAAUUUUCUCAUGCAUUAUAGUUUAAUUUCAUAUGUCCAAAUUCUAAAAAUAAUUGUGCUUUAAUUUAUAAAUAAGCAUUUUAUUGUUAACUUAUUAAAUUAAACAAUUGAAAUUAUAUUUUAAUUUUAAAAUAUCAUAACAAAUAAUGACGCAUAAAUACUUUGUACACUGACUAAAAGGAGAUCAAUUUAUUUCAAAAUCAAAUUAAAAUUAUUAUUAAUGCAAAAUGAUUAAAAAUUUUUAAAAUGUCUUUUAAACUUUCAAAUUGUAGGCCUAACUAAAAACUGAGGGUUUACACGUGAGCUGCAUGCUUUAUAAUAAGAUAAAAGAACUGAAUAAAAUAUUAAAAAAAUAUAAAAUUUAUAUGUAAGUAAAUACGUGGACUUGAUUGUGAAUUUGUGAUAGGGAUGUAAUUUAAUUAUAUAUAUAUAUGAAACUGAACAGAUCAUAAAUUAAUAUUAAAAUUAAUAAAAUAAAUAAUAAUAGUAAUUGCUUUUAUUUGUUCCAAUUAGAAAGUUUUUCUUUUCUAAUUUAAACUUGACAUACAAUCCCUUCAUAAAUUAAUUUUUCUCUAAGUAUUACUCCACUUUUAUAAUUAAUAAUCAAAAAAAUCCAAACUUCUUUCAAAAAUAAAAUAAAAUAAAAAUUAUAAUAUUUUAAUUAAUUAAUAAUUAAAUAUUUUUGUUAAUUACAUUAAAAAUUAUUUAUUUUAUAUUUAAUUGAAUUAGACUUUUAAUCUUUACUGUAAAAUUAGAAUAAAAAGAUUUUUGAGUAAAUUAUACGAUGUAGCAUUAUUUCAAAAUUUUAUUCAAGGCACGGAUUUAUUUUGAAUAAUAAAAUAAUAAACAGAGAGUUGAAAUUGGAUAGCUGGAAUAUGUAAUGACCACUGAGAAACUAUCCACUGUUUCGCAUACAUCCAAGUAAACUGCACCUCAGAGAUUUUAUAGUACCUUUAAACAAGUUGACUCGCGUUCACGUGGCAAUGGAAAAAUUAUUGAUCCCAUCCCGUGAUUUAUGAUUUCAAGCACUCUGCCACGUGGGACACACUCAUCGUUUAUUUAGCAUACUGCGAAGCACAAUAUACAAGCUCCAUUUCUGUAAAUUUAUUAUUGCCACUGGGAUUUUAUCAAUUUUUUAUAAGUAUAAAAACUACCAUCCAAUCAUUCAUUUAUAUCAACCUUUUGUCUCUCUAUACAAAAUAAAUAAAAAAAAAUAAAACUAAUUUUUUAAUUCUAAAAUAAGAAUGUAAAUAACAAAAAGCCUAUUGCUUGUGCAAGGCGUCAUUGCUAGUUUGAGGGAUUUUUCUAUAUUUAAAGAAAUACUCACUUCGUUCUCAUUCCCAACCCUCUCCUAUCCUAUUUGUUCUCGGAGACCCAUCAUUUCAAUACAGAAAAACAAAGAAAGCAACAGGGAAAGAAAAGGAAAUAUGGAAGAGACCAAGUCAAGGUUUAAGAGAAUUUGUGUCUUUUGCGGUAGCAGUUCAGGCAAGAAAGCUAGCUACCAAGAUGCUGCUGUUGAGUUGGGCAAGGAACUGGUAACAAUAUACAUAUACAUAUACAUGUAUUAUCUACCUUUAUAUAUAUUUAAGUCAUUCAUUUCGAAAAGCACAAACGAAAAAUCCUAAUUUAAACCCAUUUGUGUUUUCUCAUUUUUCUUUCUGUUUCUGGGUUUUAGAAACCAAUACCCAAUUUUUAUUUUUUAUUUUUUUUAAAUUUCGGAUCCAUUAUUAAUGCAGAUUUUUCAGUUCCCAGUUUUAUGUUUUGGGGAUUUUUUUAAGAUUUAAUGUGAGGUUUCUUCAAAUGGGUAGUGCAAUGAAAUUCUGUUUUCAUUUUUCUUCUCUAAUUUUCUGCCAUUGAUCAUAAAGUGUUUGUUGUUUUGUCAAAUUAGUUAUUUUAAUUAUUUGAUUUCAAUUCUGAAGUGAUUUGCAAGUUGCAACAAACAAGGUCUGAACGUGGGCUUAUGAUUGUUUUUGGGUUAAUUAUGCUAUUAAGGGGGAGAGAGAAGAAGGUUUUAGGGUUUAUGUUUGGCAUGAAAGGAUGCUAGCUGUAACCUGCCUGUCAGUUGAGCAGACUUCUUGCAUGAUCCUUUGUUUUUUCUCCAAUUUUAAUUAAAACAUAUAAUAAAACCCAUUUUAAAAAUUUCCAUUAAAACAUAUAAUAACACCCAUUUUAAAACCCAUUAAAAAAAAAUUUCUUCACAACAAGAUUAAAAAAUUGCUUGCUUGUUUCUGGGGAACCAAACGUGCGAUCUUGGUAUCAUGACUUCUUAUAAGCAUGUUCUUGCACUUAUAAAGGACCAAAGCUCCAUAAUUUUUGUUUAUGGAGGUUUGCUUAUUUCAGUCAGUAUAAGGGGGACUUGCAGCUUAUUAUUACUGUCGUUGUCAUGUAACUCAUAACAGUAAUUUUUGUUGUGUUGGUGUUGAUGAUUGGAAUUCGUGACACUUGUUAAUGGGGUUUGGUUUUCGAUGAAUUUUCAAGGUGGACAGAAGGAUUGAUUUGGUCUAUGGAGGUGGGAGCGUGGGAUUGAUGGGUCUUGUUUCUCAAGCAGUUCAUGAUGGUGGGCGCCAUGUUCUAGGGUUAGUCUCUUUCUCUCUCUCACUCCCUAUUUUCUUUUUCUUAUUUGGUCUUUAUCUUGGAAUGUCAAGUAAUAAUAUUAUUAAGAAAAGAAAGAAGAGAAAAGGAUUGGUUUGUUUCAAAAGACAAGCAUCAUUUUUUCUCAUGAUGGUUACCUUCUCUCAAGGGAGUUUGAAAUGGGUUGUUUGUAUUCAUUAUUAUUAUUUUCUUUCUCACUUGUCUGAACCAACGCAAGUUUCCCAAUUUUCUAUGAAAAUGGAGUUUUCUCUUUUCAUUUCUCCAACCUGCUUAAUGGCAAACAUCAUGGGACCUUGCAGCAAUAAGUGAAUUCUGCAGUUUUUCUUUUUAAUUCCUUGCUUUAAAAAGUUGAUACUAAUUAGCUCUAACUGAUCAAUAGUAAUAAAAUGAAAUGUUUUUUAGAUGGUAAAAUUUCGUGUUCUAAUCCAAUUGUUAACCCCCUUAUAUAUUAGUGAUAAAUUGGCUUUGGAGUUACUUACAAGUCUUGAGAUUGUGAGUUUCAAUCCAAACUUAAUUAACCAAAAGAAAAAGAACAUGACCCUUCUAUGUUGAUGAUGAAUUAGCGUUUAUAGGGAGUCUGGACAGGUACCCUACCUUAAUGAUCAUUUUUUCAGGAACAUGGUCUAUGCUGCACAGUACAGUAUACUUAUCUAUAAGUGUUUGAUAGUUAAUGUUGAGGAAGGUAGUCUUUUAGUAGUCUGGGUAAAGCAAAAUCUGUUUUGGUCCUUGCAAUGUCAGUCCAAUACCGUGUCUUCCUGUUAAGAAAAAAGGAAGCUGAAAAGCUUUGUUAGAAAAGUAUGUAACCUUUAGGGCAGUGAUUAGAGACUAGAGUACUUUUCUUCUUUCUUUCUUUCCGAAUUAAAAAGAAAAAAAAAAAAGGUCGUGUUCAUGAAUAGUUUAAAAGGAUCACCACUAGACGCUUUAUCUUACAAGAGUAAAAAGACCCUCUUACCCUUUGUCAAAUUUUUUAUAUCAGUGCUUUCUUUUUCUAUUUCUCUUUCUUAUUACUUCAAGUAAAUGGCCUUUACUUAUAGUUUUUGAUUCUUUUGCAGGGUUAUUCCAAGGACACUAAUGCCUAGAGAGGUGAGUUGAUACAGUAGUAGUAAAGUGGGAAUUUUUUUGUGCCCUUUUAAUAUUAUAGCGUGCGAUAAUUAAUCUUUACUAGGGUGUAACUGCCUUUCCAUAGAAAGGGAGAUUACUUUUUGUGAUAGAUAACUGUAUGCCUAUUGCUGCAUUUAUUUUGCUUUGAGGACAAUAAUAAUGUAAUAAGCCCAUUUGAUUCUUUGUUUACAGGAUAAAUUGUUAAAAUAAUUUGUGGGAAUUUGUUUUAUUGAUUUGUUUUUUAGAAAAUUAUUAAAUUAACUUAGUGAUUAAUUAGUAACAUAAGAUAAUAUGGUUGCAGAUAAUCGGUCAGACUGUUGGAGAAGUGAGAGCCGUCUCUGAUAUGCAUCAAAGAAAAGCUGAGAUGGCACGUCAAGCUGAUGCCUUCAUUGCUCUUCCUGGUAAGGGUUUUGAAUUUCUUUCAUAAAUUUCUCUUUGUCGGGUCUUAGAUAUGAUCCAUAAAUCAUGAUUAUCGGUAAUUGACAAGUAAUUAUAUAUUAUAAUCAUCACAUGUUACCUUUAUAAUUACAGGGGGCUAUGGCACUCUUGAAGAAUUGCUUGAAGUCAUUACAUGGGCUCAGCUUGGCAUUCAUCGAAAACCUGUAAGACAUUUGUUCCUCUUGCUCCAUUUUUCUAUUUGUUGUGUUUAGGUUUUGAAGUGUUAUCUACAUGCCAGCUUCUUUUGACCAAAAAUGAAAAAUUUGCGAUAAAAAUUGAGUUAUAUACGAAAAAUAAUGACGAAAAAUCAAAUGUCAAAAACGGCAAAUAACAAAUUUCAAUUGAGAGAGAGACAUGUUGGAACACAUUAUGUUUUUCGGUUUUGGUUUAUUAAAAUUUAAUACCUUACAAAAACCUUUCUGAUAGAAGUACUAAUAUUGAUAUAACUAACUAAUUUUCUUCUAAAAUCAUAUGUUAAUGAUUGUACCAAAGGGACAAUGAUUGUCAUUUUAGGGUUCUUAAAAUCAGAACAAGAAACUCAUGAGAAGUCAACAAUCAAUGCUUUAAAGGUAGGUUUCCUAUUUUAUAGGAGAAAGUAAUUAAGAUCUUAAUUAUAGGAAUAAGAGAACUAGUAUAAAAUAAAUUUAGAAGAAGUUGUAAAAAUAAAGAAAAGGGCUUUGAGUGUGGUAGAGAGAAUCCUAAGUAACAACUAUGGCCAAUAUGUUCCCCGCAACCCACUUACUAUUUUUUUUUUUAAAAAAAAAAAGAAAGAAAAAGAAACUAUCUGAUUAAGGGAAUCAAAGACAAUAAAUAUAUGGGUUUGAUACUUUGAACAACCAAUUGUAUUGUAAUGGGCUCGUACAACUGAAUUUUAAAUGCUAUUUUCAAACCCUCUUACAGAAAAACAUUUAUGAUAGACUCCAAUUGUUGCAUAGACAUGAUGUCGUUAUUUGGUCUGAAAUUAGAACAAAUGUACAAAGUUCACACGUCAAUUAAAAUAUUUGUAGCUGGUCUCUAAAGCUAAAUGAAACAUGUUUGAUGUGUUGUGUUUCUUGAGUACAUAUUAGUGUUUCAUGUACUUAAAUGAAAAAUAUCUAGAUGUUCCCCUUUUUUUUUUUUUCUCUUGGUCAAUAAAUUUCAUCAAUCAAUCUUGUUAGAUAAUUAAGCUAGAAGCUUCAAAGAAUCAAAUCAUGUGGUAUUCACAUGGAAAGAUAACUUAAGAUAUGCUUUUCCAAUCAUAAUCAUGGUUCAUGAUUUGAAUUAAUUUAUUUAUUUAAAUCAUAUAUCUCCUUUGGAAUGGGAGAGAAAAAUUCUAAAGUAGACAUAAAAAAAAAAUGCAAAAAUCUCUGGUCAAAAGGAGGUGCUUGUUAGGUGAGUUACUUUACUAGUUGUUUAUCUGGAAUUCUAGAUGUUGAGACUUUGAUGUUGUAGUUUAAGCAAUGAUUAACCUUUAUUUUAAUUUUUUUUAACAACUUUUUUGCAGGUGGGUCUACUGAAUGUCGAUGGGUUCUAUAACUCGUUAUUGUCUUUCAUUGAUAAGGCCGUUGAUGAAGGCUUCAUAUCGCCAACUGCACGUCGUAUUAUUGUUUCGGCACCAACUGCCAAACAAUUGGUCAGGCAACUUGAGGUAAACAAUUUUUUCUUUUCAAAAUAUAUGUAGAUGCCUCUAUUCCCAUGUUUUCCCAUUUCUUUAUAAAAAUAAACUUUUAAGGCAUUGCGUAAUCAACUUAUAGCUUAAUAAUCGAGUGUUAUUAUGCAAUGAAAAUCGGCUUUAACGAGCUCUCGAUAUUUCAGAAAGAAAAAAAAUUAGUAUUUGAAUAAGAAAUAUUAACUUUUUAGUUUUUUUUUUGUAUGCAACAGGAAUACGAACCGGAAUAUGAUGAAUUAACAUCGAAGCUGGUGUGGGAGGAAGUUGAUAGACUAAAUUAUGUGCCUGGAUCAGGAGUAGCUACAUAGUAGCAAAGAGUGGUGAUUUUGAAGGGGGUUUUCUACUUUUGGCUAGUCAGUAUAUACCUUUUUGUUUAUAUAAUAUAUACAUAUACGGUAUAGAAUACCGUAGUAGUCGGAGCACAGGAAGGUAUUUCUUUUUUGUCUUUGUGGGGGUGGGAACAGAGCUAGUAAAAUGUCUCAAAUGUGUCUCAGUCAGACGUAUACAAUGUUUGAGGGGGAAGGAAAGGAAAAGAAAAGAAAAGAAAAGGUGCUCUUAACUUGCCCUUUUUGUGGAAACUGAGAAAGAAGGAAGGAAUCAGUUAAAUUAAAUUCAAAGCCUUUUAUGCUAAUUUGUUUUGUUAAUCCAAAAACAUUUAAUUAGAGGGCAGGAGGAGUUUGUAAAGUCAAAAUUGUCUAUUCCUUUUGAGUGGUCAUAUGGGUGACUAAAAUAUAUAAAUAUUCUUUCUUCUUCUUCUUCUUCUUCUUCUUAUUUAUUUAUUUAAUUAAAUAUACACAUUGGAAGAUGAAGAUCUUUCCUGGAAGCUGUCUGUCUUGUUUGUUCUUGUUAGACUUGGUCAAACUAUAAUGCAACAAUUAAGCAUUUCUUUGCAUUUUUUUUAAUUGCUGUUUAUUAAUUGGCUUGUAUGUUUUGGGAAAAACGACAGAAGAAUUAGAGUGAAGUUUUACUCUUUGCUCAAUUGAUCUGUGAAUGCUCAAUCGAACCGACCAGGCUGUGUUUAAUAAGCUACAAUGCAAUGUAAUUAAUAAUAUUUUUAGUAUAAUGUUUAAGUUAGUGUCUUUAAUUAUAUUAAAUUAUGUUUUUAUCAAACAUAAGAGUUGAAAGACAGAGUACUGUCUUAUUAUAAUUAAAUUCCUCCGUCCAUGACUUGUUAUGUCACUUUGCUAAAAAAGAAAAUUGCAUGGUCUGGUUUCUGCGUUUUGAUAGAGAAGCUUGAGAAUUUUCUAUCCCUUGUCUUUGUUGCCAAAUGGAAAUUUUUUUUUUUUUUACAAUCCAUUGAUGUAAAGAGAGAAAAAAGUAAUUUUUUUUUUAAAUACCUAAUGUUUCUCUUGAAAAAAGACUCCCAACGUACUAAAUACUUGAAGCAUAACAAUUGUAUCGAAUGCAUGCUUUGACUCAAAUCAAACGAUUCAAGAAAUUAGUUACAAAUUUCUUACCAUAGUUUUACAUUCUAAAGAAUUAGAAUAUAGUGAAAGAAAUUAAAUAUACUGGAAAAAUAAAGCAAUAGUGGGUAGAGCAUUUUAUUGAAAAUUACAUUAAAAAAUCAUGCAUGGAAAAUGUUUGGAAAUUUAAAGGAAAAAAAAAAAAAAAGACUUGAAAAGAUUGGCUUUAAAGUUGUUGUAGGUAGAGUCUUCUUUUGUGUCUUCAAAAUAAUUUUUUAUCUUUAUCUUUAUCUUGGUUUUUUUUUUUUUACGGAGAAAAAUUAUUCAAAUCAGAAUUUAUUGUCAUUGUCAAGAUAUACAUAUAUUUAUUACUAGACCGUGAUUUGUUGUAUUUGUCUUUAUCUGAGUUAAUUAUUAAAAUUAUUUUUUAGCUGUUUAAUUUAAAUUGUCCACAAGGUAAACAUGUAAUUAAUCCAAAUCAAAUAAUUUAUGGAUUUUAACUUAAAUUAAUCAAAUGACUUUAAAAAAAAUGCAAAUAUAGUAAACAAUUAAUAUAUUAAUUAACCAUUUCACGUUCAAAAAUUAAAAAUAUAUAUUAAAACAAAGGUAGAAAAGUAAACGAUAAAUAUUACGCUCUUCUUCCUAUUUUAUUUGCAUUAUUUGAUAAAACACGCAUAUUAAAAAUUUAGUCAUAAAAAUUAUUUUACCAUUUUUUACCCUUCAUUAAGAUAUUAAUAAAAAAUUUUCAUUUAAUGAAUGAUCAUAAAAAUUAUUAUGAGAAAAAUAAUUAUUUACGUAUAUAAAUUUAAAAAUCUUAUAAAUACUUUAAAGUAUAAAAAAAUAAUAAAUAAGUAAAACGAAGAGGGAGAGAGUAUUUUAUUUUAAAAAAAAUUCAACAAGAAUAUAGUAUAAAAGAAGUGAAAAAGGAAAGUCAACUUUGAGACUAAUUGAUAAAUAAUAACUAUAACAUAUAGUAAUCAUGAAUACGUGGUUGCCUAUUAUUGGUUGAAAGUGUUUCGCGCAUAACACAUGGAAACGAACUUUGGGUAAAUUAUUGCAACCUUCAACAAACACAGUACGCAUACAAUAUUCCAUUUUUCUGGGAAGAUUAUUAUAUAAUUAACCACCAUUUUAUAAUUACUUAUUCCCUUUGUUCCCUUAAAUUUCAGGGUUUUUGACUUUUCACAAGAAAUAAAAAAUUAUUUAAUUAUUAGAGAAAAAUAAAAAUAAUUGACUAAAUCAACUUUUAAUUAAUAUUCAUUUAAUUGAGACAAAAUUUAGUACAAUUAUCUAAAUAAAGUAAAAUUUAAAAUAAAAUAAUUAAUGUUUUUUUGAUUUUUUCUAAAAGUGUCACCUAAUUGAAAAAAAAAAAAAAGAAAUGUUAAAUUUAGAUGAAUUAGGGAAUAUUAAGCUGAAGGUGGUGUUCACACGUGAGUCACAUGCUUUGUUGUUAAUAGAGUUUAAUUUUGGUUUGUUUACUAAUUGAUUACUGUAAUCCAUCAAGAUUGUUAGCUUGUCAAACAAAUAUCUGGUCAGCAAAUCCAAUGCUCUUGAUUUUGUUUGAUUAAACUUAGAUUUGGGAUAUAAUCUACUACUCUAUUAAACUCCUAAACCUCCAGGUUUAUGGGGUGUAGAUUAUUUUGAUACUCAUCGAAUUUUUAAUCGUAAUCGUAAUCGUAAUGUUCGCUUGUUGGUGGGUCAAUUUUUUUAUUUGUUGCCGGAAGGAAACACUGACGUGUCUCAUUAAAAGAAAUGGAGUCUUCUUCAAGCCUUUGAAUCUCCUAUCUCACCUUAGGUACUGUUAAUUAAAAAUUAAAAAUGAGAUUAAAGGCAUAAAAAUAAUUACUUUUCUUGUAAACAAGAAUCUAAUUGGUUUUCAAUUUUCAAAAAAAAAAAAAAAAAAAAAUCUAAUUGUUUUGCACAUCAACGUCUACUUGAAUCAAGCUGAGUUAUAAUUUAUUAAUGUGUUAUACGAUAUUUUUUUAAUUAAAGAAAAUUCAUCUUGAAUAUAGCGAUUUUUUAAAUUUAACACUGCAUAUGAAAGUAAAGUCAUUCUCAACAUCAAACCAUUAUCUCAAGUUUAUACACCAAAAACAUAAAUUUAUAGUGAUAACCAAGAUUUGAUGUUAGGUGCUCAAAAAAAUUUUGAAAAAUUAAAAGGGCAAAGUAAAAAGUAAAAAAUUUCACUAAAUUAUAUAGCAAAUUAAGAAAAAGGGGGCAGAAGCCAAUUCGCCAUGUACUUUUGGUAAAACACACUAAAUUUUUUAAGGACCUAUUUUACAAUUGGUAAGAUUAUACAAUAAUCCAUGCUAGCAACAAGCAAUUUAAAUAUACAGUUAAUACGAUUUUUAAAAUAAUGAUUUUCACAUUUUAGUAUCGACUAAGUAUUUAAUUAAUUUAAAGUCGGAUUAUUUAAAGCAUCCAUUGGAUCAAAAUAAAAUUUUAGAAUACUACAUAAUUUUUCAUAAUAAAAAGCACAGGUAAAUUUAUACAUUUAGGCCCCGAGUUUGUACUUACUUGUGUGUCAAAGGUGAAUUCCUUUUUUGCCCUUUAAUUUUAACAAACCAAAAGUUGCCCCCCAAGAAAACAUCAUUCGAUUGUAUAUAGACUUUCAAUAUUAGCUGGAUUAUGUUUCAUACAAGCACGUAAUAAAUAAGAAACAAAGUGAAGCCAUUUUGUUUGCUGCAUUAAUUAAUUGACAAAAACAACCAAGUCGAGUUCUCUGCAAAGCACUUAUUCCGGAAACUGCUCAUCAAAGCUCUUUAACAAAAAUUACAUGAAAAUGGAAAAAAAAUUUACAUCUCCUAUCUGAA